CUCCGCCAGGGGCUGAACGGGAGGUCGGAGGGGGUGAACUGUGAGCGGCGAGAUGAGGGGAUACGUGAAGUGAGGAUGGCGCAGGGAGUCGUAAGGUGAGAUAGAAAUGAGGUAGCAAUCUGCUAGAUUUCACCUUGAUCCGCUGCAGAAAGGUACAGCAAGCUCCAAAGGGCCAUCCAUUACAGGACUUCAUUUCCUCCAGGAAUAGAGAAUUACAGCCUCAGCUCAAGACACUUCUGAGCUUUCGCUUUAUUAAGUUGAAC
RNAcentral lists this long non-coding RNA (263 nucleotides) under Gallus gallus (chicken). Lineage: Eukaryota; Metazoa; Chordata; Aves; Galliformes; Phasianidae. The record is from RNAcentral.